AUGGUCACCCACCGUUGGAUAUUA
This 24-nucleotide microRNA is filed under the name Prunus persica (peach). RNAcentral's name for it is "microRNA miRNA_13". The record is from RNAcentral. Lineage: Eukaryota; Viridiplantae; Streptophyta; Magnoliopsida; Rosales; Rosaceae.